CCUACGGGAGGCAGCAGUAGGGAAUCUUCCGCAAUGGACGAAAGUCUGACGGAGCAACGCCGCGUGAGCGAAGAAGGCCUUCGGGUCGUAAAGCUCUGUUGUCAGAGAAGAACAAGUACCGGAGUAACUGCCGGUACCUUGACGGUACCUGACCAGAAAGCCACGGCUAACUACGUGCCAGCAGCCGCGGUAAUACGUAGGUGGCAAGCGUUGUCCGGAAUUAUUGGGCGUAAAGCGCGCGCAGGCGGUCCUUUAAGUCUGAUGUGAAAGCCCACGGCUCAACCGUGGAGGGUCAUUGGAAACUGGGGGACUUGAGUGCAGAAGAGGAGAGCGGAAUUCCACGUGUAGCGGUGAAAUGCGUAGAGAUGUGGAGGAACACCAGUGGCGAAGGCGGCUCUCUGGUCUGUAACUGACGCUGAGGCGCGAAAGCGUGGGGAGCAAACAGGAUUAGAUACCCUGGUAGUCCACGCCGUAAACGAUGAGUGCUAAGUGUUAGAGGGUUUCCGCCCUUUAGUGCUGCAGCAAACGCAUUAAGCACUCCGCCUGGGGAGUACGGCCGCAAGGCUGAAACUCAAAGGAAUUGACGG
This 587-nucleotide ribosomal RNA is filed under the name uncultured bacterium. RNAcentral describes it as "bacterial SSU rRNA". It matches the Rfam family "Bacterial small subunit ribosomal RNA", at positions 338 to 916 of the family's 1533-position model. The record is from RNAcentral.